ACAUGGAUAUUCUCCCUGUUCUGACUCUGUGAUAAUAAGGAAAUGCUAAACAGUCGCUAAAGUAAGACCAUGCAUGUGUCUCACACCUACUUCUUUGCCUAGGCUGGGUUUUCUAAAUGCUGAUGACAGGU
Molecule: small nucleolar RNA, 131 nt
Organism: Grammomys surdaster
Lineage: Eukaryota; Metazoa; Chordata; Mammalia; Rodentia; Muridae
Product: small nucleolar RNA SNORA72
Exons: 1
Source: RefSeq, a predicted model, not a curated record